AACGCUGGCGGCGUGCCUAACACAUGCAAGUCGAACGAAGCGCCUUUUGAGAUUCUUCGGAUGAUUGAUCGGUGACUGAGUGGCGGACGGGUGAGUAACGCGUGGGUAACCUGCCCUGUACAGGGGGAUAACAGUUGGAAACGGCUGCUAAUACCGCAUAAGCGCACGAGAGGACAUCCUCUUGUGUGAAAAACUCCGGUGGUACAGGAUGGGCCCGCGUCUGAUUAGCUGGUUGGCAGGGUAACGGCCUACCAAGGCGACGAUCAGUAGCCGGUCUGAGAGGAUGAACGGCCACAUUGGAACUGAGACACGGUCCAAACUCCUACGGGAGGCAGCAGUGGGGAAUAUUGCACAAUGGGGGAAACCCUGAUGCAGCAACGCCGCGUGAGUGAAGAAGUAUUUCGGUAUGUAAAGCUCUAUCAGCAGGGAAGAUAAUGACGGUACCUGACUAAGAAGCUCCGGCUAAAUACGUGCCAGCAGCCGCGGUAAUACGUAUGGAGCAAGCGUUAUCCGGAUUUACUGGGUGUAAAGGGUGCGUAGGUGGCAGUGCAAGUCAGAUGUGAAAGGCCGGGGCUCAACCCCGGAGCUGCAUUUGAAACUGCUCGGCUAGAGUACAGGAGAGGCAGGCGGAAUUCCUAGUGUAGCGGUGAAAUGCGUAGAUAUUAGGAGGAACACCAGUGGCGAAGGCGGCCUGCUGGACUGUUACUG
RNAcentral lists this ribosomal RNA (708 nucleotides) under uncultured Lachnospiraceae bacterium. Its description in RNAcentral is "bacterial SSU rRNA". It matches the Rfam family "Bacterial small subunit ribosomal RNA", at positions 32 to 742 of the family's 1533-position model. The record is from RNAcentral. Lineage: Bacteria; Bacillati; Bacillota; Clostridia; Lachnospirales; Lachnospiraceae.